ACUACAUGAAGCUGGAAUCGCUAGUAAUCGCAAAUCAGAAUGUUGCGGUGAAUACGUUCCCGGGCCUUGUACACACCGCCCGUCACACCAUGGGAGUUGGAAGCGCCCGAAGUCGAUGACCCAACCGUAAGGAGGGAGUCGCCGAAGGUGAAGCCAGUGACUGGGGUGAAGUCGUAACAAGGUACC
This 186-nucleotide ribosomal RNA is filed under the name uncultured bacterium. RNAcentral's name for it is "partial 16S ribosomal RNA". It matches the Rfam family "Bacterial small subunit ribosomal RNA", at positions 1315 to 1500 of the family's 1533-position model. The record is from RNAcentral.